Molecule: long non-coding RNA, 2163 nt
Filed under: Sus scrofa (pig)
Lineage: Eukaryota; Metazoa; Chordata; Mammalia; Artiodactyla; Suidae
Description: lncRNA (ENSSSCG00025009738.1)
Source: RNAcentral
CAUCUGCUAGAUUUUUAUUAAAGUAACAAAAAAAGGUGUACAUUUGUCCAUAAACCUGUACAUUCUUCCAUAUAAAACACUAUUAUACAAUUAGUAACCUUUGUCUUUUCUAUCAGAAUAGCUUACAAACUACUAUUAUUUAUUUUUACUUAAUAGGAGAGACAGGCCUGCUCAACAGUCCAGCUCUGGGUGUUUUGUUGAUUUUAAAGUGAACAUCAAAAAGAAGAGAGAAAAGAUUAAGCAUGAGACUAUGAGGCUGCUUAUAAUCUGCAGUGAUUCACAGCUUUGUUUCAACCCACAGGCCAGAAAAUUAGCUCUUGGGUCUGUGGGCCCAAAGUUACCUUUAAAGCAAUAAAGACUGGAAACAGGGGCUGGGAUGGUAGCUGGGGAUCUGGAACGUUGAAGAGGCAGAACUGGCAGGAAUGGGUAGGGAAAGUGUUUGGUAAAUAGCACCUUUGAAUCAGAACUGAGUAGUUAAGAAAUCCAGGAAAGGGGACUGGCAGUGGGGAGGAAGUUUUCUCCACAAGGGGCAAUGGCAGGAGGGUAGCCAGGUUGACCAGAUGUUCUAGCUCCAUCCUUCUUGAGAUGGUCUUGGGUUUGCGAUACUCAAGGCCUUCUGAGGACCCCUCACUAAUACCACUGAAAACCUGAAGGAAGAGGAUUUCUUCCCAGUGUAGUUUUGCAUUUUUCUGCAACCCAAAACAGUAAAUAUUGCACAAGUCUACAGACAAAUUUGGAUUGUACUGAGAGACGGCAACAUCUCCCACAGGUGCUCUGAGCACGGGGAAGAAAAAAACAAUGCCCAAGGUUUGGCUUUUAGUGUCAGCCCUACAAAAAUACCAAGUAGUCCUGCAGAACUUGGGGCAUUCUCCCAUUCGGCCAAGGAAUACUGCAAGGCUGAGGAUCCAGCCAUAGUCCCAAGGACAGAGGGAGAGAUGGUUCCCUAAGCCUGCCAAGGCACCAGAAGGUUGUAAGAGCCAGUUCUCCUCCAGACCCUCCUGGGACCCAAGAGGCCAUAUUGCACAGUGACUGAGAACUUUUGUCCUAGAAAACAGGGUAACUGCAUGACCCAACCAGGAGGGGAGAGGAGCAGGGAGAGUUAGAGAGGAGUGUUGUGCUUUUAAAAAGAAGGCAGUAAUCAAGGAUGUGGAGUUCCCUGUAACUUUUGAGCCACCUCUCCAAGGGAUAAUGGUAGCAUCGCCAGGACUUUCACGUAGUUCCAAAAAAAAAAAAAAAAAAAAUUACCACAUAUACACAUAGAGCAGCACAUAGCAAGGCAAAGAUUUCGUGCAGAGUACCCUUCUGUCCCAACUCCAAUAACCUGCAACCCCUGCCUCACUCCCCUGAACCCCCAAACAAAAAGCUUUAUAUUCUUGGUGGGUAGCAACAUCCAUAGGCCCCUGAGAAUAGAAUUAGAAAUAAGUCAUGAUUUUAAGAAAAACUGUUCAGGACAGAAGGAAUCAAGAGAGGCUUUUUCACUCUCUGCCUAGGAUCUCAUUAGAAAAAUAAAAGAGAAAGAUUAGGCAAUAUAGCAUAAUUUAAGUCCAGGUUUGAAUGCCCCUGAGUAAGAGAGGGGCUGGGGAUGCAGGUGUCCUGGUUAGAAGAGGGAGAGGUUAGAACUCAGCCUCUCUUCUCCAUCCAGGACAGAUCCUGACCUCUCUCAUUCACAGUUGCUAACCUUGCUUGCUCCUUCUCACAACUUCCUGGGGUGCUAGCCAAGCCUCUCCCCCAUCACCUUGACCAGACCCGCCCCCUGAACUUUCCCCCCUCCCAUAGGCAGACACUGGCUCCCAGACUCAAGCGCACAACGAUUCUCUCCAAAGGCACCUGGGGAGGCCACUUCCAAGCAGCUCCCUUUAAGGAUUUUUUUCUUAAAAAAAAUCUUUUGGUUUUUUUUUUUCUCCUCUUUUCUUAAAAAAAAAAAUAAUAUAUAUAUAAAUAGCUCUUCAUUUAAAAUACAGUUCCCCAGGUUGAGGUAUGCAAUGGCCUGUUGUCACGGCAGGCAGAAUGAGUACAGUAGAGUGCCAGGUGGGGGCCACAGGGGAUCUAACUGGAGACCGCCAUGACGUAGUUCUUCGAGGGGCUGCUCCUGCCCAGCAUCAUUUGGUUCUUGCAGGUGAGGAGCCCAUAGGAGGUGGCCACCGGGGCCUCCUCGUACAGGAC